UACGGAGGGGGCUAGCGUUGUUCGGAAUUACUGGGCGUAAAGCGCGCGUAGGCGGACCUGCAAGUCGGGGGGUGAAAGCCCGAGGCUCAACCUCGGAACUGCCUUCGAUACUGCGGGUCUCGAGUCCGGGAGAGGUGAGUGGAAUUCCGUAGUGUAGAGGUGGAAUUCGUAGAUAUUAGGAAGAACACCAGUGGCGAAGGCGGCUCACUGGUCCGGUACUGACGCUGAGGUGCGAAAGCGUGGGGGAGCAAACAGGG
This 257-nucleotide ribosomal RNA is filed under the name uncultured bacterium. RNAcentral describes it as "partial 16S ribosomal RNA". It matches the Rfam family "Bacterial small subunit ribosomal RNA", at positions 524 to 777 of the family's 1533-position model. The record is from RNAcentral.